This 1791-nucleotide small RNA is filed under the name Pan troglodytes (chimpanzee). RNAcentral describes it as "retained intron". The record is from RNAcentral. Lineage: Eukaryota; Metazoa; Chordata; Mammalia; Primates; Hominidae.
UUUCUUCCUUCUGGCUCGCCGGCCGGAGGGUAGGGGGUCCGUGGACCUCCCGGCCUGUAGGGGGCGUCGGGCGCAGCGGAAGGGCCUGCUCCGGAGCCUGGCCAGGGCUGCGCAGUCAUGAUCACCGAGACCGCGGCGGAGCGUACGGUCCCUGCAGUGCCUGCUGCUGAGGAGGCCACCGAAGCUCGGGGACGCGAGGAGCCGGCGUGGCCCUGGAAAGACGCCCCGAUCCGGACGCUGGUGCAGCGCAUCCACCAGCUGCAGGCUGAGCGCGCGCAGGGCUUCCGCCGACUGGAGGAGUGAGUGGGGGCGCGGAGGGGCUCAGGGUUCGGUCCCCCGCCCGCUCCGGGCGUGGGCGUGUUCUCGGCGGGCGUGCGUGGAGGAGGAGCUGGGUCCUUGUGCGGCUGCAGAGUCAGAUGGGGCGGGGAUUUCGGGGCACCGGGUCCUCACCUUCACGAGAAAGGCCCCACAGCACGUCCCCACUACCCGACGACUCAAUCCUCGUGGCUUCUCUCUCCCCCGCAAGAGCAGGGGUGGGCCUGUCUCGCGUUCCCCUGCGGGAGUCAGGAAGCGUCCUUCCUACCUACCAGUCCUCCCCUCUGGGGUCUGGGGACACUUCCUGGGGGCCUUUCAGGUGGUUGGCGCCGGUGCAGGGCCUGAGAGCCUGGGGGCGCGGCCUCAGGGUCCCCACCUGCCGCAGAGGCCACCGCCAGUACCUGCGCAGCAGCCCUGACUACGACUUCGCGCGCUACCGGAGCAUAGUGCACGAGGUGACCCAGGCCUUCGCCGCCGCCUCGCGGGAGGUGCUGGCUGUGGAAGCAGAGCUGGGCGGGCCUCGCAGGCAGCCGCUGCUCGCCGGCCACGUGCGCAGCCUGCAGGAGCUGGAGCAGACGCGGCUGGGCACGGCUAGAGUGCAAUGGCGCGAUCUCGGCUAACUGCAACCUCCGCCUCCCAGGUUCAAGCGAUUCUCCUGCCUCAGCCUCCUGAGUAGCUGGGAUUACAGGCGUAAUUUUUGUAUUUUGUAUUUUUUUUAGUAGAGAUGGGGUUUUGCCAUAUGGGCAAGGCUGGUCUCGAACUCCUGGUCUCAAGCGAUCCGCCCUCCUCUGCUUCCCGAAGUGCUGGGAUUUCAGGCGUGAGCCACCGCGUCCAGGCUUUUUGGCCUACUUUUAUCCUGGGUCCCCGUCCCUGGGACCAUGAGGCGCAACCUAACCCACCCCUACGGCCAAUGCCUGGCUAAGACGUCACUGUUGUUCCCAGGCCACGCCCACAUCGCGCUCAGCACUGCCUCUGGCCUGCCUGCUGUCUCCCUUCUGAGAGAGCCUCUAAACUGAAUUUCGGACUCUUCCUACACAAAGCACUGCCCCUCGUGGUUCUACCCGGGCACUGCCUUUCUGGGUGCCUCUGUUUUUUCCUGAACAUCCUUGGAGGGCAGGGGUGGGUUCUGCUCGUGGAGACAUCCUUCCUGUUGUUCAUUCCCCCACCAGGUGGCCCUGCUGCAGUUGAUGGAGACGCCAGAGCUGGCGGGGCAGGAGGACGCUGUACGGAUGCAGCAGCUGAAAAUGAAGGUAAUUAAAACCAUGGAGGCGAUCAGCGAGGUUCUCCAGGACCUCAGGUUUGAUGCGGAAUCUGCCGAGUGAUGGCGGCUCCCCAGGGAUGCGCCGAGGGAGAUGGGAAACGGGGCGGAUGGCGCCCAGCCCAGCCCUAACCGCCAGCUGGCUGGGGUCGCGCCCCACUGCGCUGCUGACCUUCCUGCAGUUCCAGACACCGCCCACAAUAAAGAGCUCCUCCUCU